GUGCUAACUUGUGGUUUUAUUGUCAGUGUUGGCUGCGGAUGGACGAGGAGUUGAACCCAGUUUAUGGAGUAGUCUUGCAAAGUGAAGUCCUGUUCCACACUAACAGAAGCAACACCAAAAGCACUGCUGCAAGGAGCCGCCGGGAGCUCCAGGGUGAAGAGACCUGCCUCCCCUGGGAGACCUCUGCUAAAGGUGAAGACCUCCAAGCAGACCAGGCAGAUUUAGCAGGAGCUCAGGAAUUUUACAUCAAGGCCUGGGAGGGGAAGGUGAAGAAAAUGCCUGCUGUUCUGGCUGGGAAGAGUUUGAGAAGGCAGACCGGUGGAGAGCUGUGCUGGAAGAGGAGCGUCUGUUCAGUGGUCAGGGAGGGGGAGAAAACAAGGGGUGCGAGUCUCCAGGCUUUAGGGUUGGGCAUUCAUCUGUCUUCAUUUAUACUAAUUUUUCAUAACCAUAGUUAUGUGAAUUCUUUGCACGUUUUACAUUAGAGCAUUGGCUAAAAGCCACAAGCAGUUGUGGAAGCAGGGUCUGAGAUCUUAUCUGCCCCACAAACUUCCAGCUGCUAGGCCUAUAAGCUGCCCAAGGUAUAAGUGCACUCAUGUUCAGGAACAUUGUAUGGAAUAAGUCCUGAAGAGUUAUUCAUACAAGGGCUUUUUGCCUUGCUCCAUUAAAUAAUUAAGCCUCUCUUCCUGGAGAGGCUUCUUCAUCUGUGCCAGCAAAAUGCUUCUGGUUUCUUGUAUGAAGACUGUGAGACUGGGUUCUGUACAAAGUCACACUUGUUGGUUUUAUAUGGAUACAAUUUCUAGUCAUUAAAUUAACAAUCUUUCUAAGAUUGAAAUCUAAAUUUAUUUUACGCUGUACUAAAAAGGCUUGAAGUUUAGUAGGCUGUCUUCAGACUCAUUAGCCUUGAAAUGAUAACCAAUGCCAUUGCAUACGAAGCUAGUUUUUGUCUGGGAUUCAUUGUGCUGAAUAUCUUCAGCUCUUGCGUACAGUUCUGGGAUCUGAGAGUUGCUCUGAAACUCUGGAUUAUGGGUGGGGACCGGAGACAUGAAGUCUCAAAGGUUUUCCGUCUCAGCUCCCAGCGAACUCGCUGGCAGCGGGGCGGUUUUCGAGUGGGAGCCUGCACGCUCUAGUGUCUGCGAAGAACCGCUUCAUGUUCUGACAGUCGCACCUUGACUUGCUUUCUAGUUGUGUCUUGCAGCUCAACAUAAACACCUUCUUGUGUAGGGAGAUGUAAGAGAGCGGAAAACAGUCUUUGAAGAAUAAAAAGACCAAAACAAUGGGCUCUAGAGAGCUU
Molecule: long non-coding RNA, 1291 nt
Filed under: Anser brachyrhynchus (Pink-footed goose)
Lineage: Eukaryota; Metazoa; Chordata; Aves; Anseriformes; Anatidae
Description: lncRNA (ENSABRG00000005700.1)
Source: RNAcentral